Molecule: ribosomal RNA, 439 nt
Filed under: uncultured bacterium
Lineage: Bacteria
Description: partial 16S ribosomal RNA
Rfam family: Bacterial small subunit ribosomal RNA
Source: RNAcentral
CCUACGGGAGGCAGCAGUAGGGAAUUUUGCGCAAUGGGCGAAAGCCUGACGCAGCAACACCGCGUGAAUGUUAAGCCCUUCGGGGUGUAAAGUUCUGUCAAUAGGGACGAAUUUUGACUGUACCUAUAAAGGAAGCACCGGCUAACUCCGUGCCAGCAGCCGCGGUAAUACGGGGGGUGCAAGCGUGUUCCGGAAUCAUUGGGGGUAAAGCGUUCGUAGGCGGCUAGGAAAGUCUGAUGUUAAAGCCCGGGGCUCAACUGCGGGUCGGACUUGGAUACUAUCUAGGUAGAAUGUGGUGGAGGUAAAGGGAAUUCCUGGUGUAGCGGUGAAAUGCGUAGAUAUCAGAGGGAACAUAGGGGGCGAAAGCGCUUUACUGGACCAUUCUUGACGCUGGGGAACGAAAGCCAGGGGAGCAAAUGGGAUUAGAUACCCUUGUAGU